Molecule: ribosomal RNA, 241 nt
Filed under: uncultured bacterium
Lineage: Bacteria
Description: partial 16S ribosomal RNA
Rfam family: Bacterial small subunit ribosomal RNA
Source: RNAcentral
GAUCCUGGCUCAGGAUGAACGCUGGCGGCGUGCUUAACACAUGCAAGUCGAGCGAAGCACUUUGGAAAGAUUCUUCGGAUGAUUUCCUUUGUGACUGAGCGGCGGACGGGUGAAGGUAACGCGUGGGUAACCUGCCUCAUACAGGGGGAUAACAGUUAGAAAUGACUGCUAAUACCGCAUAAGACCACGGUACCGCAUGGUACAGUGGUAAAAACUCCGGUGGUAUGAGAUGGACCCGCGU